Micropterus dolomieu (smallmouth bass) is the source of this 1638-nucleotide long non-coding RNA. RefSeq lists it as uncharacterized. NCBI's taxonomy places the organism in Eukaryota, Metazoa, Chordata, Actinopteri, Centrarchiformes, Centrarchidae. The transcript has 2 exons. The record is from RefSeq and is a predicted model, not a curated record.
UGCACAGUCAUCAUGGCUGACAGGCUCAGACACAGAGAAAAACACUAUACCACCAAGAAGGCAGGACAGCUUUUGUGAUCAAACUGGACUAAAUGGAUCUAAAUGGCUUCUACUUACAGUAUUGGCUGUAAUCAGAUGAAAGGAAAAUAAUACCAGCCGGUGUUUGCAUUUCCCUCCAGACCUGAGCCCUCUGGUGCCGAUGUGUAAGAGCUCAGGCAGACAAAAUGGCAGUGACCUCCCUGAUGGGUGGCAUAUGUGCUGAAGGACAGCCAAUGCCCUCGCGUCUCACAGACUGAAGGCCCUCAACUGCCUCCCCUAUAGCUAGUGUGUAAUCUGCCAUAACACACUGCCAUCCUGCCUGUGUCUACAGGACAGAUGGCAAGAUACCUAACGCAGGGACGAGGCAAGUUAGACAGUGGGGUUAAGGAGUUGAGAUAUGGUCGCUGAUGUUGUCUAACUCAUGAAUGAGGGUCGAGGGGGUUGAAGAGAACAGCAGGGAAAACCAACACAAUACUGUACAUACAGGGAGACAUUAGCAUUAUACUGCAACAAUCACAGCAGCACAAAAUAGUAAUCUAAAACACUUCAUCACAAAGUUAAUUGAACAUAAACAAGUUUUAAUCUUUAAAACGUUAUAAUUUGUUGACAUGGUAACACCUGUGGCUACUGACGAUAACGGCAGGUGCAUUUUGUUAACACAAGUCCCAUAGCUCUGUUGGAAAGGACGUGUUUUGACCACCUGGGACAGUAAAUAUAUGUUGAGGAGCUACUCCGUCAGAAAUGCAAAAGAAGAGCCACGGGUGCAUCUUUUUACAGAGCAGCCAAACAAAUCAUGGGCAGAGAGAAUUAACUGCAUCAUGUUAUUUUGGUAAAAUGAGACUGAAUAAGAUUCCAUCACUGUAAUCCUGAACUCCCGAAUGAAUGUUUUCUUCAGUAUCAUGCCUAGUGUGAGCAUGCAUUGUUUGUUCACAAAACAAAUCAAUUCAUGAAUUAAUUAAUUAAAUUUCACACCAGUGGCAGAAAGUCAAAAUACUCUUCUUCUCCCUCGGAGUGUCACCUAAACUCCCAACAUCUUUUCUUGUCAAGUUAAAACCCUCCGUGGCCUCUUUUUAGCUCCUGGAAAAGGCUCACAGAUUCCCAGAGGAGCCGUGCAUGUUGACGUUCUCUUAUGUCUGUUGCGUCAUGAUGAAAUGGAUACAGUAUGCGACAUAGGUAAUCAAUGCAUUCAUCACUGUAUGUCCAUUAGUGCCUCAGUCCUCGGCAUCUCCCCUGCUCACAGCAGACCAUUUCCUGAUUGACUGAUGAGGUGCAGGGACAGCCAUGAAAGAUCAUGUUUCAUCCUAGGAGAGGAGGAGGAGGGUGGCAUUAAUCCAUGACUGCAGCUGUUACCCACACACAGUGCAAUUAAUAAAGACUCAGUGGACCUGCACUGCAGACUGAUGGCUGAUAAACACAUGGUCACAUCAGAAAGCCCUCAUGGGAUUUGUAGACAAUGUUGGGCAGUGAAGUACAGUGGCAAUAAUUCAAUAUUAUUGUCUUUCACCAGAAUCAUAUGAUUAGAUGAAUGUAUGUAUGUUGUCACUUUACAAAAUACUUUAAAUUUGUUAUUUAUUUGUAAUUAAAGCAAAUACAAUUAGA